RNAcentral lists this ribosomal RNA (301 nucleotides) under uncultured bacterium. Its description in RNAcentral is "partial 16S ribosomal RNA". It matches the Rfam family "Bacterial small subunit ribosomal RNA", at positions 509 to 808 of the family's 1533-position model. The record is from RNAcentral.
CAGCAGCCGCGGGAAUAUGUAGGUGGCAAGCGUUAUCCGGAAUUAUUGGGCGUAAAGCGCGUCUAGGUGGUUAUGUAAGUCUGAUGUGAAAAUGCAGGGCUCAACUCUGUAUUGCGUUGGAAACUGUGUAACUAGAGCACUGGAGAGGUAAGCGGAACUACAAGUGUAGAGGUGAAAUUCGUAGAUAUUUGUAGGAAUGCCGAUGGGGAAGCCAGCUUACUGGACAGAUACUGACGCUGAAGCGCGAAAGCGUGGGUAGCAAACAGGAUUAGAUACCCCCGUAGUCCCUGUCUCUUAUACA